RNAcentral lists this ribosomal RNA (468 nucleotides) under uncultured bacterium. RNAcentral's name for it is "partial 16S ribosomal RNA". It matches the Rfam family "Bacterial small subunit ribosomal RNA", at positions 28 to 507 of the family's 1533-position model. The record is from RNAcentral.
GACGAACGCUGGCGGCGUGCUUAACACAUGCAAGUCGAACGGAAAGGCCCUGCUCUUGUGGGGUGCUCGAGUGGCGAACGGGUGAGUAACACGUGAGUAAACUGCCCUUGACUUUGGGAUAACUUCAGGAAACUGGGGCUAAUACCGGAUAGGAUCUCCUGCUGCAUGGGGGGGGUUGGUAAGUUUCGGCGGUUGGGGAUGGACUCGCGGCUUAUCAGCCUGUUGGUAGGGUAGUGGCUUACCAAGGCUUCGACGGGUAGCCGGCCUGAGAGGGGGACCGGCCACAUUGGGACUGAGAUACGGCCCAGACGCCUACGGGAGGCAGCAGUGGGGAAUAUUGCGCAGUGGGCGGGAGCCUGAUGCAACAACGCCGCGUGCGGGAUGACGGCCUUCGGGUUGUAAACCGCUUUCGCCUGUGACGAAGCGGGAGUGACGGUAAUGGGUAAAGAAGCACCGGCUAACUACGUG